GGCCCGGUAGCUCAGUCGGUAGAGCACUUGAUUGAAGCUCAAGGUGUCGGCAGUUCGAUUCUGUCCCGGGCCA
This 73-nucleotide transfer RNA is filed under the name Carnobacterium alterfunditum. RNAcentral describes it as "tRNA_Phe_GAA". It matches the Rfam family "tRNA". Rfam says of the family: Transfer RNA (tRNA) molecules are approximately 80 nucleotides in length. Their secondary structure includes four short double-helical elements and three loops (D, anti-codon, and T loops). Further hydrogen bonds mediate the characteristic L-shaped molecular structure. tRNAs have two regions of fundamental functional importance: the anti-codon, which is responsible for specific mRNA codon recognition, and the 3' end, to which the tRNAs corresponding amino acid is attached (by aminoacyl-tRNA synthetases). tRNAs cope with the degeneracy of the genetic code in two manners: having more than one tRNA (with a specific anti-codon) for a particular amino acid; and 'wobble' base-pairing, i.e. permitting non-standard base-pairing at the 3rd anti-codon position. Lineage: Bacteria; Bacillati; Bacillota; Bacilli; Lactobacillales; Carnobacteriaceae. The record is from RNAcentral. RNAcentral also lists the same sequence under 1 other name.